Molecule: ribosomal RNA, 765 nt
Filed under: uncultured Streptococcus sp.
Lineage: Bacteria; Bacillati; Bacillota; Bacilli; Lactobacillales; Streptococcaceae
Description: bacterial SSU rRNA
Rfam family: Bacterial small subunit ribosomal RNA
Source: RNAcentral
GACGAACGCUGGCGGCGUGCCUAAUACAUGCAAGUAGAACGCUGAAGAGAGGAGCUUGCUCUUCUUGGAUGAGUUGCGAACGGGUGAGUAACGCGUAGGUAACCUGCCUUGUAGCGGGGGAUAACUAUUGGAAACGAUAGCUAAUACCGCAUAACAAUGGAUGACCCAUGUCAUUUAUUUGAAAGGGGCAAAUGCUCCACUACAAGAUGGACCUGCGUUGUAUUAGCUAGUAGGUGAGGUAACGGCUCACCUAGGCGACGAUACAUAGCCGACCUGAGAGGGUGAUCGGCCACACUGGGACUGAGACACGGCCCAGACUCCUACGGGAGGCAGCAGUAGGGAAUCUUCGGCAAUGGGGGCAACCCUGACCGAGCAACGCCGCGUGAGUGAAGAAGGUUUUCGGAUCGUAAAGCUCUGUUGUAAGUCAAGAACGAGUGUGAGAGUGGAAAGUUCACACUGUGACGGUAGCUUACCAGAAAGGGACGGCUAACUACGUGCCAGCAGCCGCGGUAAUACGUAGGUCCCGAGCGUUGUCCGGAUUUAUUGGGCGUAAAGCGAGCGCAGGCGGUUUGAUAAGUCUGAAGUUAAAGGCUGUGGCUCAACCAUAGUUCGCUUUGGAAACUGUCAAACUUGAGUGCAGAAGGGGAGAGUGGAAUUCCAUGUGUAGCGGUGAAAUGCGUAGAUAUAUGGAGGAACACCGGUGGCGAAAGCGGCUCUCUGGUCUGUAACUGACGCUGAGGCUCGAAAGCGUGGGGAGCGAACAGG